GUUGCCAGCCCGCUCAGAAACUCAAAGGAAUUGACGGGGCCCGCACAAGCGGUGGAGCAUGUGGUUAAUUCGAUGAUACGCGAGGAACCUUACCUGGGCUCAAAUGUAUGUUGACGUAUUCUGAAAGGGAUACUUCUUCGGACAAUAUACAAGGUGCUGCAUGGUUGUCGUCAGCUCGUGCCGUGAGGUGUCGGGUUAAGUCCCAUAACGAGCGCAACCCCUAUCAUUAGUUGCCAUCAGGUCAAGCUGGGGACUCUAAUGAAACUGCCUACGCAAGUAGUGAGGAAGGUGGGGAUGACGUCAAAUCAGCACGGCCCUUACGUCCAGGGCUACACACGUGCUACAAUGGCCGGUACAAAGGGCAGCUACCUGGUGACAGGAUGCUAAUCUCAAAAGCCGGUCUCAGUUCGGAUCGGAGUCUGCAACCCGACUCCGUGAAGCUGGAAUCGCUAGUAAUCGUGGAUCAGCCAAGCCGCGGUGAAUACGUUCCCGGGCCUU
Molecule: ribosomal RNA, 498 nt
Filed under: uncultured Sphingobacteriales bacterium
Lineage: Bacteria; Pseudomonadati; Bacteroidota; Sphingobacteriia; Sphingobacteriales
Description: bacterial SSU rRNA
Rfam family: Bacterial small subunit ribosomal RNA
Source: RNAcentral